UACAGAGGUGGCAAGCGUUGUUCGGAAUUACUGGGCGUAAAGGGCGCGUAGGCGGCCAUCUAAGUCGAACGUGAAAUCCCCGGGCUCAACCCGGGAACUGCGUCCGAGACUGAAAGGCUCGAAUCCGGGAGAGGGAUGUGGAAUUCCAGGUGUAGCGGUGAAAUGCGUAGAUAUCUGGAGGAACAUCGGUGGCGAAGGCGGCAUCCUGGACCGGUAUUGACGCUGAGGCGCGAAAGCCAGGGGAGCAAACGGG
RNAcentral lists this ribosomal RNA (253 nucleotides) under uncultured bacterium. Its description in RNAcentral is "partial 16S ribosomal RNA". It matches the Rfam family "Bacterial small subunit ribosomal RNA", at positions 524 to 776 of the family's 1533-position model. The record is from RNAcentral.